RNAcentral lists this long non-coding RNA (3828 nucleotides) under Homo sapiens (human). Its description in RNAcentral is "long non-coding RNA NONHSAT204303.1". Lineage: Eukaryota; Metazoa; Chordata; Mammalia; Primates; Hominidae. The record is from RNAcentral.
GUCAGAAACUGCAAGUGGCUUAGCUGGGUACUUCUGGCUGAGCCUCUCAGAGGCUGCAGUCUAGCAGUUGGCCAGGGCUGUGGUCAUCUGAAGGCUGGACUGGGGCUGGAGGAUCUGCUGCCAAGGUGGCACAUUCACAGGGCUAUUGGCAGGAGGCCUCAGUUCCUCACUAUGUGGAUUUCUCCACCCAGCCUCCCCUCACGUGAGUGAUCCAAGGGAGAGCAAACAAAGGGGAAGCUGUGGUGCCUUUUCUGACGAGGCUCUGCACUUCCAUACCAUCACUUCUCUUUAUUCUGGUCCUUAGAAUUGAGUCACAAAGUCAAGGGGAAUGGGAUUAGGUGCCACCUCUUGUAGGGAAGAGUAAGAAUUUGUAAGCAUAGUUCGUGAUUUUUUGUGGGAAGUAGGGAAGAGUGCUUCAGGCAGAAGUAACCACAGGUGCAAAGGCCCUGAGGUAGGAACACACAUAUUAGCAUAUUCAAAGGAGAGCAAGAGGCCAGGGUGGCUGCAGUUGGUGAGCAAGGGGGAGAGUAGGAGAGGAGGUCAGAGAGGAAAGGCAUGUGCAGGGCCAAGGGCACCAGGUUGUGCAGGGCCUUUAAGUAGGUGGGAAGCCUUUGAAUGGUUUUUGAGCUGAUGUGAUGAGCUUUGACAGUGAUGUGAUCUGAUUUCUUUUAAAAAAGAAAUUGGUGGCUGUUGCAGUAAGAAUAGCCCAAGGAGGAGCCAGGAUGGAUGGGAAGAGGCCAGUUAGGAGGCUGUGGUAACAACCCAGGAGUUAUGUCUGUAGCUUGUGUAUGAAGGUGAUGAAAGGGAUGAGACUUUGGAUAUAUCUUGAAGAUAGAGUCAAUGGGAUUUUCCAUGAACCACAUGUGGGUUUUGAUUCCAAGGUUUUGGAUCUGAGCAAGUGGAAGAAUGGUUCUGGCAUGAGCAAGAUGGGGAAUCCUAAGAGUGGGACAAGUUUGAGAGGAGGAGCUUCAGAGUCCAUUUGGGGACAUGUUAAUUUUGUCCAUUAGACAUCCGAGUAGAGAAGCUGAGUAGGCAAUUGAAUAUGGAGGCUUGGAGUUCAGGAAUUCGGAAGGAAUACUUUCCUGUGGUCUGUGAGUGACAUUACAAAAUUGAGGAGGCUGGGCUCCCUCUCUGGAAGAGUAACAAUUAGUCCUUUGGAGGGUUCUAAACACACAAAGCAAGGGAGGGGCUGGUGCCAACCAAGUGCAGUUUUCAGAUGUUUCUGGGGUGCAGAGCACAGCUAGUGCGGCUGGGAGGCAUGAGUUUCACCCAGAGCAGGGGGCUUCUGCUGCUCUGUUCCCAAAACAGUGCCCUAAGGAACACAUAUCUUUCACUUCAACAAGACAGGCCACGUAUUUCUUCCCAGGGCACUGCCAACCCUGAGAAGAAACUCAGGGCAAGUGGAUUGACCUGCAGAAUUCAGUGGCACCAUUUUUCAGAAUUCAUAAGAUGGCAGAAAGACAAUCAGCUAAUCAAGUCUGCCAACUUCUAGGUCUCUUUUCUCUUUUGGUCUCUUUCUAAUUCUGCCCCAAAUUAAUCUUAGCACCCAGAAGCACACAUUUCCCUGCUUCCAAUUUCUGAUGUUUUCUGAGCCCCAGCUGGGCUUGGUUUAUAGGAAUUUAUUCUUGAGCGCUCAGUCUUGGGUCCAUGUUUCAACACAUAUUUCCAGGACUCCCAAUGACUCCUCUGAACCAACCUGGGCCCCAUCCAGCUGUAUAACCCUGAAAAGGGUGUACCAAAGUCCCUGGGAUAUUUUCCUCCUCCCUAACCCCCAGGUCGGACUUAGACCCAGGGGCUUCAGAGACAUAUCAGGAGUGCAAGUAGAGGCUGACUAAUUUGGAAAGCUUGAAUUAAGGGUUUAGACUGGCUCCCUUAGCUGAUCCUAGUGCAAAGGCUAAUCUUUUGCAGAGUCAUUUUAUGGCGUGAGAUGGUGCUGUUGAUUUUGCACAGUUAAUAACAGCUCAGCCUGAGUGCUGCUAGCCUUAGCCAAGGGUGUAGAAUGCAAGCAGUUGUUUCAGCGAAAGUAAGAAUUUGCUGGGAGCACACUUGGCUUUUCUGAAGAGGCCUCUGCACUGCCAAGGGAGAAAGACCCCCCCUCAACAGUGGCCACAGCAUCUGGUCUGUGGCUAGAGGAGACCAACGUGUUGAUAUUAAGAGUUCUUUGGAAAAGUACUGUCUCUUCACUCAUUCACUGCUGACUGGAUCCCAAAGAAUGCACUGUCUCCCCAGCAUGCAGAAAGGGGAUGAAUCAAACUGAGUUUAGAUCCUGGCUUUGUCACUUACCAGCUGUGUGACCUGGGGCAAGUAAACAUCUUUUCUGUAUCUUAGUGUUCUCAUCUGUAAUGUGAGAAUAACCAGACCUACCUCGAAGGAUGUCUUGCUUGAAGAGUAAAUAUCUGGCACAUGGAGAGUGAUCAAUAAAUGGAUUUCUCCUUAACUACUACUCGUCUAGCUACACUCAUCUCAUCUUCCACCUGUGGCUCAGGAAGCUUGAGCUGAUGAAUCCAUGGAGACUGUAAAGAAAUAGCAGGGGAGGUCGAUCAGGGUGCUCACUGAGAGCAAACUGUGGCUCUGUUGAUUUCUGAUGCCCAGUUGGCAAUGGUUGGAGUUCCCAGCCUGCCAGCUCAGCUGUUUCUCCCUAUAGCGCAUCUCUCAGUUAUUUCUAGGAGUUCUUAAAGGUGUGCAUCGCAUCAUCUCAAAAACCAGCCCGUCCAACUUGUGUUAUCUGCCCUGUUGAUCUACCUUUGUUUUCCCAAGGUCUGCAGCCUCCAAAGCUUCUGAAAUGGGACUUGCUGCUGCUGGUAUCUUUAGAGGGGCAUGUGGUAUCCUGCCAAGGGUGAUUCCUUAGCCUGUCAGUGGCCCAGGGCUCAGGAUUCUACCUGCCUCACAUCUCCUGGAUCCAUCUGCAUGUCUUGGCCCAAUCUCCAUAUCCUCGGUUCUGGCCCCUCCACUACCUGGUUGCCACUGAUGAUUCCAAGGAUUCAGAUCAGCUCACAGUGCUCCAAAAAUAUAGCAAAGUGAAACAAAUGUGCAAAUAAAUGAUAAAAACAAAAGAAGAAAAAGAAAGAAAAGACUUAUUGUAUAUCCUACCUCCUUCAAACAGCUUGCUGUGAUGUGCAUGGUGGUGUGGGAACCUUCUGAUGUCAUACAUACAGGUAACUUACCUAGUUUUGGAUCAGGCAUGGAAACUUGUCUGAGACACUUGGAGAUGACUCCCAAAAUGGUCUGACCCAGAAAUCCAGAAAGGGGCCAUCUGACUGUCCCAGGGUGCUGUACAUGGGGAACAUGCCACCUGGCUGGGGAUCCAGGGAGCAAGGGUCUUCCUGGGUGUGGCAGGUCAUCUCCUCACAGUAACACACGAACACUUGACUUCUCCCACAAAAACUUCUGGCCUAAAAAAUUAAUCAAUACUUAUCUAAACACCUGAGAGCCGAGAGUCUUUGAUAAAUUAAAAGGCAGUUUGGCAGUAAGCCACCUCCUGAAUGCCCCAGAUUUUCAUAAAAGGCCCUUUGUGGAAGCCACAGAAUGCAGGUAAAGCUAGGAUUUGAGGCGGUGCUGAUUGAGAGUUUCCUUCGCCUUCUGUCUUGAUUGGAAACAGCCUGAAGCCCUCACCAGAAGCCAGAGGCAGAUGCUGGUGCCAUGCUUCUUGUACAGUCUGCAGAACUGUGAGCCAAAUAAACCUCUUUUCUUUAUAAAUUACCCAGCCUCGGGUAUUCCUUUAUAGUAACACAAACACACUAAGACAAUACCAAUUCAGAAUUCAGGCCUUCUCAUCAACAAAUCUUUCCUCUUCCAACCACCUCAGCCAACACCUCCUACCAGCUCACC